Molecule: transfer RNA, 77 nt
Filed under: Planctomycetota bacterium
Lineage: Bacteria; Pseudomonadati; Planctomycetota
Description: Planctomycetes bacterium tRNA-Lys
Rfam family: tRNA
About the family: Transfer RNA (tRNA) molecules are approximately 80 nucleotides in length. Their secondary structure includes four short double-helical elements and three loops (D, anti-codon, and T loops). Further hydrogen bonds mediate the characteristic L-shaped molecular structure. tRNAs have two regions of fundamental functional importance: the anti-codon, which is responsible for specific mRNA codon recognition, and the 3' end, to which the tRNAs corresponding amino acid is attached (by aminoacyl-tRNA synthetases). tRNAs cope with the degeneracy of the genetic code in two manners: having more than one tRNA (with a specific anti-codon) for a particular amino acid; and 'wobble' base-pairing, i.e. permitting non-standard base-pairing at the 3rd anti-codon position.
Source: RNAcentral
GCCCCCGUAGCUCAGUUUGGCAGAGCAACGGAUUCUUAAUCCGUGGGUCCUAGGUUCGAUCCCUAGCGGGGGUACCA